AGUGAAAGGCUAAUCAAGCCGGGAGAUAGCUGGUUCUCCCCGAAAGCUAUUUAGGUAGCGCCUCGGACGAAUACCAUUGGGGGUAGAGCACUGUUUCGGCUAGGGGGUCAUCCCGACUUACCAACCCUUUGCAAACUCCGAAUACCAAUGAGUGAUAUGCGGGAGACACACUGCGGGUGCUAACGUCCGUUGUGAAGAGGGAAACAACCCAGACCGCCAGCUAAGGUCCCAAAGUCAUGGUUAAGUGGGAAACGAUGUGGGAAGGCAUAGACAGCUAGGAGGUUGGCUUAGAAGCAGCCAUCCUUUAAAGAAAGCGUAACAGCUCACUGGUCUAAAUAAGGGGUCCUGCGCCGAAAAUGUAACGGGGCUCAAGCCACGAGCCGAAGCUUAGGGUGU
RNAcentral lists this ribosomal RNA (396 nucleotides) under uncultured eukaryote. RNAcentral describes it as "partial Bacterial large subunit ribosomal RNA". It matches the Rfam family "Bacterial large subunit ribosomal RNA", at positions 819 to 1209 of the family's 2925-position model. The record is from RNAcentral.